AGAGGGUGCGAGCGUUGUCCGGAAUCACUGGGCGUAAAGGGCGCGUAGGCGGUCUCUUAAGCGUGUGGUGAAAGCCCGGGGCUCAACUCCGGGUCGGCCGUGCGAACUGGGGGACUGGAGCUUGUCAGAGGCAGGCGGAAUUCCGGGUGUAGCGGUGGAAUGCGUAGAGAUCCGGAAGAACACCGGUGGCGAAGGCGGCCUGCUGGGACAGUGCUGACGCUGAGGCGCGACAGCGUGGGGAGCAAACAGGAUUAGAUACCCUGGUAGUCCACGCCGUAAACGAUGGGCACUAGGUGCUUGGGGGAGCGACCCCCUGAGUGCCGGCGCUAACGCAUUAAGUGCCCCGCCUGGGGAGUACGGCCGCAAGGCUG
RNAcentral lists this ribosomal RNA (371 nucleotides) under uncultured bacterium. RNAcentral's name for it is "bacterial SSU rRNA". It matches the Rfam family "Bacterial small subunit ribosomal RNA", at positions 527 to 896 of the family's 1533-position model. The record is from RNAcentral.